UACGGAAGGCAGCAGUGGGGAAUAUUGCACAAUGGGCGCAAGCCUGAUGCAGCCAUGCCGCGUGUAUGAAGAAGGCCUUCGGGUUGUAAAGUACUUUCAGUCGUGAGGAAGGUGUUAAGGUUAAUAACCUUAGCAAUUGACGUUAGCGACAGAAGAAGCACCGGCUAACUCCGUGCCAGCAGCCGCGGUAAUACGGAGGGUGCGAGCGUUAAUCGGAAUUACUGGGCGUAAAGGGCACGCAGGCGGUUAAUUAAGUUGGAUGUGAAAUCCCCGGGCUUAACCUGGGAAUGGCAUUCAAGACUGGUUAGCUAGAGUCUUGUAGAGGGGGUAGAAUCCAUGUGUAGCGGUGAAAUGCGUAGAGAUGUGGAGGAAUACCGGUGGCGAAGGCGGCCCCUGGACAAAGACUGACGCUCAUGUGCGAAAGCGUGGGGAGCAAAC
RNAcentral lists this ribosomal RNA (438 nucleotides) under uncultured bacterium. Its description in RNAcentral is "bacterial SSU rRNA". It matches the Rfam family "Bacterial small subunit ribosomal RNA", at positions 340 to 773 of the family's 1533-position model. The record is from RNAcentral.